GACGAACGCUGGCGGCGUGCUUAACACAUGCAAGUCGAACGGAAAGGCCCAGCUUGCUGGGUACUCGAGUGGCGAACGGGUGAGUAACACGUGGGUGAUCUGCCCUGCACUCUGGGAUAAGCCUGGGAAACUGGGUCUAAUACCGGAUAUGAUCAACUGUCGCAUGGUGGUUGGUGGAAAGCUUUUGCGGUGUGGGAUGGGCCCGCGGCCUAUCAGCUUGUUGGUGGGGUAAUGGCCUACCAAGGCGACGACGGGUAGCCGACCUGAGAGGGUGAUCGGCAACACUGGGGCUGAGCCACGGCCCAGACUCCUACGGGAGGCAGCAGUGGGGAAUAUUGCACAAUGGGCGCAAGCCUGAUGCAGCGACGCCGCGUGAGGGAUGACGGCCUUCGGGUUGUAAACCUCUUUCACCAGGGACGAAGCGUGAGUGACGGUACCUGGAGAAGAAGCACCGGCCAACUACGUGCCAGCCGCCGCCGUAA
Molecule: ribosomal RNA, 482 nt
Filed under: uncultured bacterium
Lineage: Bacteria
Description: partial 16S ribosomal RNA
Rfam family: Bacterial small subunit ribosomal RNA
Source: RNAcentral